Molecule: ribosomal RNA, 460 nt
Filed under: uncultured bacterium
Lineage: Bacteria
Description: partial 16S ribosomal RNA
Rfam family: Bacterial small subunit ribosomal RNA
Source: RNAcentral
CCUACGGGGGGCAGCAGUGAGGAAUAUUGGUCAAUGGGCGCGAGCCUGAACCAGCCAAGUCGCGUGAGGGAAGACGGUCCUAUGGAUUGUAAACCUCUUUUGUCGGGGAGCAAAAGACGCCACGCGUGGCGUUCCGAGAGUACCCGAAGAAAAAGCAUCGGCUAACUCCGUGCCAGCAGCCGCGGUAAUACGGAGGAUGCGAGCGUUAUCCGGAUUUAUUGGGUUUAAAGGGUGCGCAGGCGGAAGCGGCAAGUCAGCGGUAAAAUUGCGGGAGUCAACCUCGCCGAGCCGUUGAAACUGGUCAUCUAGAGUGGGCGAGAAGUAUGCGGAAUGCGUGGGGUAGCGGUGAAAUGAAUAGAUAUCACGCAGAACUCCGAUUGCGAAGGCAGCAUACCGGCGCCCAACUGACGCUCAUGCACGAAAGCGUGGGUAUCGAACAGGAUUAGAUACCCGGGUAGUC